AUGGCAGCAGCGUCAGGAACCGCCGCGACGUUCUCCAUCAGGACGCCGGCGCCGGGGCUCCGGCGGCCCUGCGCCCGCGCCGCCGCGGCCGGCGGGGGCGCCAAGUGGUGGGCGCCGCUGCUGGGGUGGUCGGGCCAGCCCGACUACAUCGACUCCCAGCCGGCCGCUGAACCGGCGCCGAAGGAGGAGCGGGGGAAGAGGCGGUUCGGGGUGCUGACGGAGGAGAAGGCGCGGCAGCUGCGGCUGAGGAUGAUGGAGACGGAGAGCUUCCACGACGUCAUGUACCACUCCGCCAUCGCCUCCCGCCUCGCCUCCGCCCCGCCCGACACCGCUCGCCGCACCAAGCCGUAG
This 351-nucleotide ribosomal RNA is filed under the name Triticum aestivum (bread wheat). RNAcentral's name for it is "partial small subunit ribosomal RNA". Lineage: Eukaryota; Viridiplantae; Streptophyta; Magnoliopsida; Poales; Poaceae. The record is from RNAcentral.